Molecule: long non-coding RNA, 221 nt
Filed under: Elaeis guineensis (African oil palm)
Lineage: Eukaryota; Viridiplantae; Streptophyta; Magnoliopsida; Arecales; Arecaceae
Description: long non-coding RNA (EGUI_LNC020153)
Source: RNAcentral
CACACUUACUCUAGCCAGAGAUUUUCUAAACUCAGUCUUACGAAUCACAUAGGACUUCUCUUUUUCUACCAAGAUCGAUAGAUUCCAUCUAAGUACAUCCUACACCAAAUAGCGAACCUGAACCUACAAUAGCCAACAUACACAGUAAGAAUUCGAAUGGCUAGAGACUAAAAAAAUAUGCAGUCAAACUAAGUAGCCUCACUGUGAAUAGCCAACACAUC